AGCCAUUUCAGCCUGUUACGAGAAGAAACAGUUCACAUAGACAACAUUUCUUUCCAAAGGAGUAUGGGACACAGAUGUCCCCUCUCUAACAAGAACUCAAUCAUUAAAGCUGCAGGGUAACAUUUGUCAUUUGUAAACUGAUUACAGACGAUCAUAAAGAAAACCAGAAGUCUUCAAACUGCAACAAUGCACAAAGUCUUUUGAAGCUACUACAGCAUUGAGAACAGAAUGAGAUCCCUACCUGCCAUAGUAAGCAGGCCAGUGUCAGAUGAAGCAAACACUUUUUAGGGCACCUUCUCCAGUCCCUUCUUCAUGCCAGGAGCUGCCGUGGCUUGAGCCAAUAAUGGACGACCUCCUGAACAAGCAAAUGUUAAGGAGAUGAGUUGUGGGGACAGAAUGAAGCUGAAACACCAAGAAGAAGACACCUUAUGCAGAAUGCAUGCUACCAAGGCAUCUGCUUUGGUAUUACCAGCUGAACACAAAAACUGAAGUAAUGGAAGCUGAAGGCUUGUCCUUAUUUUGUGAACCACACAUCUGCAUUGAAUCCAAACACUAAUACACCUAGAAUGGGCCUACAUCUACCUGAUUAU
Long non-coding RNA from Dromiciops gliroides (monito del monte), 590 nucleotides. RefSeq lists it as uncharacterized. The transcript is spliced from 3 exons. The record is from RefSeq and is a predicted model, not a curated record. NCBI's taxonomy places the organism in Eukaryota, Metazoa, Chordata, Mammalia, Microbiotheria, Microbiotheriidae.